UGUGUCUCGCAUUGUGGAUAUCGAACCUACAUACUGGUUUAACAGCACCAAGCAUUCAAUGAUUGAUCUAGGACCAAACUCCUCCGUUGCAACCAAGGCACCACACCUUGCGGCAUGUUUCUUACCUUUAACACAUAUCUGUAAUUCCUACAAAGCCACCCUUCAGACCGACCGGAACGGUAUUGUUUUAACUGCGAGCUGGACAGAAGCAAACAAGAUGUGCAGAGAUCAGGGUAGCUUUUUGCUUAAAGAUAAUGAAAUGAAAGGUGACCAUUGCGUGGCAUCGACCCUUUACAGAUUCGCAGCAUAUGCUCACUAUGGUUCGUACGGAAUGUGGACUAACACGGAGGGUUUUGUCGGAAGGUAUAACAACGUGGAUAAUAUAAUGCAUAUCCGCGACGAAUUUAAUACGCUUCACUACCGUCCGCAUCGCUCGGUUGUAUGCUUUGAGUCUGUCCAGAAUUGAAUAUUCUGCGAAAGAUGCUCUGCUGAAUUUGUGAAGCCGCGGGUCUGUCCAGAGAUUGAAGAUUCUGUUUCUGAAAUUCAUAUUGUGCAUCCAUCUAGUGUUUGUACGGUUCUGACUGCGUUACUGCUGACAUAAUUAUCUUCCAGAAUACCUCAAUACAACUAAGUGAACACAAUCUGGAUCAACGAUCAGACUUCAAUACCUGCAAACCAUUGCCAUUUUUGUAUUUCUAUAUUAUUACUUAGGGACUCCCCGGAGGCUUCUCCGCGGCCUAUUGAGGGGGUUUCAAAAUGCAUGAACCAAGUGCCAAGGUUUAAUCUUGCUUGUUUUUUGAAGACAGUGAGGUUUUCCUCGAGGCUGGAGUAUUUUGGAAUGUUUAUCUACUUUGAUGUAUGCAAUAUUCACUGGUUUGGUGUAUGCCUACAUAUGUUUGGCAUUCUCUUAAAGUUGCUUUGCUGGUGCUUAUUAUGGGACGCUGA
This is a long non-coding RNA of Sycon ciliatum, 945 nucleotides long. RefSeq lists it as uncharacterized. The transcript is spliced from 3 exons. The record is from RefSeq and is a predicted model, not a curated record. Lineage: Eukaryota; Metazoa; Porifera; Calcarea; Leucosolenida; Sycettidae.